GACAUCCAGAGAACUUGGCAGAGAUGCCUUGGUGCCUUCGGGACCUCUGAGACAGGUGCUGCAUGGCUGUCGUCAGCUCGUGUUGUGAAAUGUUGGGUUAAGUCCGCAACGAGCGCAACCCCUAUCCUUUGUUGCCGGCGAUUCGGUCGGGAACUCAAAGGAGACUGCCGGUGAUAAACCGGAGGAAGGUGGGGAUGACGUCAAGUCAUCAUGGCCCUUACGAGUAGGGCUACACACGUGCUACAAUGGCGCAUACAAAGAGAAGCGACCUCGCGAGAGCAAGCGGACCUCAUAAAGUGCGUCGUAGUCCGGAUCGGAGUCUGCAACUCGACUCCGUGAAGUCGGAAUCGCUAGUAAUCGUAGAUCAGAAUGCUACGGUGAAUACGUUCCCGGGCCUUGUACACACCGCCCGUCACACCAUGGGAGUGGGUUGCAAAAGAAGUAGAUAGCUUAACCUUCGGGAGGGCGUUUACCACUUUGUGAUUCAUGACUGGGGUGAAGUCGUAACAAGGUAAGCGUAGCGAG
RNAcentral lists this ribosomal RNA (525 nucleotides) under uncultured bacterium. RNAcentral's name for it is "bacterial SSU rRNA". It matches the Rfam family "Bacterial small subunit ribosomal RNA", at positions 983 to 1509 of the family's 1533-position model. The record is from RNAcentral.